AGAUGAGAAGAACAUUUAAGUUUUCCUCUUUUACCUCCAGAAUAAUAUAAUGGAACCACUUAUCUUUUUCAGAAAUCAACUCUAAGGAAAGAAGUGGUCAGGAAACCUGUUGAAAGAAAAUGAAAGCAAUGUAUUUCAGCAAUUACUUAAAUCCUGCAAGAAGAUCAUGUUUGAUGGGUUGCUUCCCUUUCCUGUAUCAUUCUCCCAAUAAUAUUAAGGCAGCGUGUAGAGCUGAAUGAAAACACUGGGCUCAGUAUCUAGGAAACCAGAAAUUUAGCCCUACUGCUGUCACUAUGAACUGUGAAUCUCUGCGCCCUUGAGUAAGUCACUUUCUUUCACUCUACUUCAUUGUUCAAAUCAAUAAUGUGAGAGACUAGAUGAGAGUUCUUUAAGAUCUUGUGUCACACUAAGAAACUAAUUUUGAUUCUGUUAUCCUAAAAAUCUAUUUUUAGAUACUAUUGUGGCAUUUUGGACUUCUAAGUGAUCUAUAUAAAGUACAUGUUGGAAGUCCCUGGAGUCCCUUGAAAUGAUGCUGGGAAUGACAGCUCGGUAAGAGAGCAGUAGACAGACCUUUUAGUCUGGGUCACCUUGAGGUUUCAGUGUGUUGACAAGUAUGCAGAAUGGCCACAUUUUAAGGGCUGUUUUCCAAUAUGGUAGGACCUCUGAAAAGUGGCCUUGUGUUUGGGCCAUUAGGGAUCCAUUGUCUAGGUACUUUGUGGUUUAACUAGUAUAUUGCGCUACCAAAAAGCCUUUUUUUAUUUGGAAACACCAGAAGCUCAGAAUCUAUCUACUGUUUUACAUAUACAAUGUGAAAACAUCUUAGUGU
This 826-nucleotide long non-coding RNA is filed under the name Papio anubis (olive baboon). RNAcentral's name for it is "lncRNA (ENSPANG00000041927.1)". Lineage: Eukaryota; Metazoa; Chordata; Mammalia; Primates; Cercopithecidae. The record is from RNAcentral.